This 30-nucleotide non-coding RNA is filed under the name Mus musculus (house mouse). The record is from RNAcentral. Lineage: Eukaryota; Metazoa; Chordata; Mammalia; Rodentia; Muridae.
UGGCUACCAGGACUUCACGGAGUCUAUUGU